GAUGAACGCUGGCGGCGUGCCUAAUACAUGCAAGUCGAGCGAACAGACGAGGCGCUUGCUCCUCUGACGUUAGCGGCGGACGGGUGAGUCACACGUGGAUAACCUACCUAUAAGACUGGGAUAACUUCGGGAAACCGGAGCUAAUACCGGAUAAUAUAUUGAACCGCAUGGUUCAAUAGUGAAAGACGGUUUUGCUGUCACUUAUAGAUGGAUCCGCGCCGCAUUAGCUAGUUGGUAAGGUAACGGCUUACCAAGGCAACGAUGCGUAGCCGACCUGAGAGGGUGAUCGGCCACACUGGAACUGAGACACGGUCCAGACUCCUACGGGAGGCAGCAGUAGGGAAUCUUCCGCAAUGGGCGAAAGCCUGACGGAGCAACGCCGCGUGAGUGAUGAAGGUCUUCGGAUCGUAAAACUCUGUUAUUAGGGAAGAACAAAUGUGUAAGUAACUAUGGACGUCUUGACGGUACCAAAUCAGAAAGCCACGGCUAACUACGUG
This 497-nucleotide ribosomal RNA is filed under the name uncultured bacterium. Its description in RNAcentral is "partial 16S ribosomal RNA". It matches the Rfam family "Bacterial small subunit ribosomal RNA", at positions 28 to 507 of the family's 1533-position model. The record is from RNAcentral.